Molecule: ribosomal RNA, 486 nt
Filed under: uncultured bacterium
Lineage: Bacteria
Description: bacterial SSU rRNA
Rfam family: Bacterial small subunit ribosomal RNA
Source: RNAcentral
GAUGAACGCUAGCGGCAGGCUUAACACAUGCAAGUCGAGGGGCAGCGAGAUGUAGUAAUACAUUGUCGGCGACCGGCGCACGGGUGCGUAACGCGUAUGCAACCUACCAUAUACAGGGGGAUAACCUUUCGAAAGAGAGCCUAAUACCCCAUAGUAUUAUUUUAAGGCAUCUUAAAAUAAUUAAAGAUUUAUUGGUAUAUGAUGGGCAUGCGUGCCAUUAGUUAGUUGGUGAGGUAACGGCUCACCAAGACAACGAUGGCUAGGGGUUCUGAGAGGAAGACCCCCCACACUGGUACUGAGACACGGACCAGACUCCUACGGGAGGCAGCAGUGAGGAAUAUUGGUCAAUGGGCGCAAGCCUGAACCAGCCAUGCCGCGUGCAGGAAGAAUGCCCUACGGGUUGUAAACUGCUUUUAUGUGAGAAUAAACUUGAGUUUGCGAACUCAACUGAAGGUAUCACAUGAAUAAGGAUCGGCUAACUCCGUG